Molecule: ribosomal RNA, 435 nt
Filed under: Blastocystis sp. subtype 2
Lineage: Eukaryota; Bigyra; Opalinata; Blastocystidae
Description: bacterial SSU rRNA
Rfam family: Eukaryotic small subunit ribosomal RNA
Source: RNAcentral
UGCAUUGGAUUGAGAACAACGUAAAACUCUUAUCGAUAAGCCAUUGGAGGGCAAGUCUGGUGCCAGCAGCCGCGGUAAUUCCAGCUCCAAUAGCGUAUAUUAACGUUGUUGCAGUUAAAAAGCUCGUAGUUGAAGUGAGGGAGUGUGUGUUGUGAUCGAAUCGAUCGAGAGCAGUACAAGCUCCCCCUUCCAAUGGGUGUAUUGGGGUAUUCAUUUACUUCAUUACUCCUUUGGUCGUUUACUGUGAGAAAAUUAGAGUGUUCAAAGCGGGCGUUUGUUUGAAUAGAUUAGCAUGGAAUAAUGAUUGAAGGCUUUCGUGUUCGAUUUGAUUGGUUUGUUCAUGGAAGCAAGGUUAAAAGGAACAGUUGGGGGUAUUCAUAUUCACUAGUUAGAGGUGAAAUUCUCGGAUUUAUGGAAGAUGAACAAGUGCGAAAG